GCAGCAGAUGUAGUAGGAGGAGCAGGAGGAUCAGAAUCAGGCACCGAAGAUUCAAUCCCAAUCCUUUUCACCGAUUCUCAGAAAACCUACGUUCGUGAACUCGAUCACAAAUUUAAUUCCCUCCAACGUUCGAUCCAAGAUCUACGCCUUCGAUUACCUCCUCCUGAUAUCUCACAGCGUCUUCCUCAUCUUCACGCUCACUCUUUAGCUUCCAAUAACGCUCUCGCUCUCCAAUUAAACGCGCAUUCCUCCACUCGCCAUCAGGUAUGGAGAAACUACGCGUUCGAUUAUAAAUGAUCUCUGAAAUUGUAAACUGCAUUAUUAGAUUAAUUGUUUUUAAAUUAGUUCAUUUAGUUGUGUAGUUGUUUAAUUACUGAAAUUGAAAAAUUGUCUCUGAAAUUGAAAAUGUUUGAUUAGAUUAGUCUUUUUGAUGUUGGUCAAUUUAGUUAUGAAACAGUUUGGAAUGGCUGAGGAUCCAUGUGAUUGAAGAAUUACAGUUUCGGGGAUUGUUUUGUGAUUUUGUUAAUUGAGUCGUGAAGUUACUGAAGUUGAUAAUACUGGAUGAGUUUAGUCUUUUUGAGUUGGUUAGUUUCGUAACGGAGUUGUUUAAUUCUGGAAAUUCUAGGUGUUUGUCUGUUAAGUUGUAAAGUUAUGAAAUCACAAAAUGAUUCUUGAAAUUGGAAAUGCUCGGUCACUUUAGUUUAUUUUUGAUUCAUCCAGUAUAAUAUCCUCAUCUCUGCUACACAAUAAAGUAUGUGUAGCAAAGAUGAGGAUGUUGCAUUGGAUGUGUGGUAAAAUUAGACAGGAAAAGAUUAUAAAUGAUAAUAUUAGAGAGAGUGUUGGGGUAGCACUCAUAGUAGAAAAGAUGAUGGAAAAUAGACUUACUUAGGUAGUUUGGACUCGGAGAGAGAAGACUUGUAGAUUGUGUGGUAAGGCAAAUAGAUCAGAUGGAGAGAAGUUAAACUACUAGAGGUAGUGGAAGACCUAGAAAAAUUAUAAGAAAAGUUAUCAAGAAAGAUCUCGAGAUUAACGAUUUGGACAAAAGCAUGGUCCUAGAUAGAACAUUAUGACGAAAAUUGAUCCAUGUAGCCGAUCCCACUUAGUGGGAUAAGGCUUGGUUGUUGUUGUUGUGUUGUACUACCUCCGUUUUUUAUUAUAAGUCGUUUUUGUCUUUUCACACGUAUUAAGAAAAAUAAUGAUUGUUGUAUGAAAAUGAGAAAUUCAGAAUGUUUUUACAAAAUUGUCCUUCAUUAAUGACAUGAGAAAAAUAAUUUUACAUAAUUGAAAGGAGAGAGAAUAAUAAACUUUUAAGGGUGUAAUAGGAAUAAUAGCAUUAAUUAUUCAUUGGUAAUGUAAAGUGACUUAUAUUGUGGUACAUUUUUUUUUCUUCUAAAAUGGCUUAUAAUAAAAAACAGAGGAAGUAAUAUUUAGUCAUGCAAUUGUUUAAUAAUUUUUGAAAUUCGAUGUGUUUGUUAAUUUAUUAGUGAAAUUAAUCUGAAAUUUCAAAACGACCUUUGAAAUUGAAAACGCUUGAUUACAAAAAGUUUUCUUUAGUUGGUCAAUUUUGUUAUGAAACUGUUUGGAAUGAUUGAUGUGAUCAGAGAUUUUCAAUUUCAGGAAUCGUUGUGAUUUAUUUAGUUCAAGCUACUAAAUUUUCUACUACAAUUCUAGGGAUUUAAUUGGGGGAUACAUUUGGUUUCAAUUUUUAUAUGCGACUAAUUUACUUCUGUUCUACGAGGGCAGGCCCAGCUUAGAGAGGAGACACUGAAGGAAGAAAAUGCUGCUUUUGAGAAUGCUAUAUCCAAUUGCGAGGAUAAGAUCAAGGAAAAAUUACAGGAGGCUGAACUACUAAGGAGCAAGCUAGAGGUGGGACUGAGGAUUGUUAUAUGUCUUCUGUACUGUGUUAUGCUGAAUGACAAUAUUGUUUGAUGUGUCAGUGUGUGCCAUGAUAGAGACUAUAGAGAGUGAAUGUGAUGUUUUAUUUGGCGGUUUACUUAGUUACAUAUUUUAGGAAUUGAAGUUCAUUGUUUUGUGUUUUAGUUAUUAUUGGUUCUUCUGUUUUGAGUUACAGGAAAUGGAUGAAGCUGAAGAGAAGCUGAAGACUGAGAUAGAAAAUAUGCGGCUGCGAGCUUCUGAAAAUGCUGGCCAAUCUUGGACUGCUGAGAGUUGGGAGGAAGAAAACAAGACAUAUACUAAAACUGGCUUUGAUGCAGAUAUGGAUGGAGAAGUUUCAAAAUCGGCUAUGCUUGACAAAUUGGAAGAAAGGAAGAACGAACUGGUAUUUUGUUUUUAAUCAUACAAUUCUCUUUUGCAUUCUUAACCAUAACAUAUUGUUCAAUAUUGAAUGAGUAAGGGUGCAUUUAGAUCAACAACAUAAUCAAGUGCAUACUCAAU
RNAcentral lists this long non-coding RNA (2394 nucleotides) under Lathyrus oleraceus (garden pea). RNAcentral's name for it is "Pisum sativum (pea) long non-coding RNA (PSAT_LNC001053)". Lineage: Eukaryota; Viridiplantae; Streptophyta; Magnoliopsida; Fabales; Fabaceae. The record is from RNAcentral.